GCGGGAGAUCAGCCGAAAGAGCAAGUGGGU
Molecule: non-coding RNA, 30 nt
Filed under: Homo sapiens (human)
Lineage: Eukaryota; Metazoa; Chordata; Mammalia; Primates; Hominidae
Source: RNAcentral